RNAcentral lists this ribosomal RNA (459 nucleotides) under uncultured bacterium. RNAcentral's name for it is "partial 16S ribosomal RNA". It matches the Rfam family "Bacterial small subunit ribosomal RNA", at positions 338 to 795 of the family's 1533-position model. The record is from RNAcentral.
CCUACGGGAGGCAGCAGUGAGGAAUAUUGGUCAAUGGGCGAGAUCCUGAACCAGCCAAGCCGCGUGAGGGAAGACGGCCCUAUGGGUUGUAAACCUCUUUUGUCGGAGAACAAAACCCGGGACGUGUCCCGGACUGCGUGUAUCCGAAGAAAAAGCAUCGGCUAACUCCGUGCCAGCAGCCGCGGUAAUACGGAGGAUGCGAGCGUUAUCCGGAUUUAUUGGGUUAAAGGGGUGCGUAGGCGGUCCGUUAAGUCAGCGGUAAAAUUGCGGGGCUCAACCCCGUCGAGCCGUUGAAACUGGCAGACUUGAGUUGGCGAGAAGUACGCGGAAUGCGCGGUGUAGCGGUGAAAUGCAUAGAGAUCGCGCAGAACUCCGAUUGCGAAGGCAGCGUACCGGCGCCAGACUGACGCUGAGGCACGAAAGCGUGGGGAGCGAACAGGAUUAGAUACCCCUGUAGUC